Etheostoma cragini (Arkansas darter) is the source of this 413-nucleotide long non-coding RNA. RefSeq lists it as uncharacterized. The transcript has 3 exons. The record is from RefSeq and is a predicted model, not a curated record. NCBI's taxonomy places the organism in Eukaryota, Metazoa, Chordata, Actinopteri, Perciformes, Percidae.
CAGGAGACCACUGACUACGGGCGUCCCAUCGCGGUGUCUCUGGAGACGGGGCUGAGCAGCCCAGACGAGGGGCCGGUGUUGGACCCCGACUGGUCCAGCGUCCUGAGGACUGAGCUUCCCUUCUGGAACGGCUGUGAGCAGGAGGACACCUGCGUCCCCGACCUCGUCCUCCACAGCCACACCGACCUGCUGGAUGUUGAGACGUUCUGCAGCCGGAGGGACGGAGCCGCCUGGUCGCUCUGCUGGCGCCGGCCGGCCGACGCCUCGCUGCACGUGGUGGAGACCGGGCGGAGGAGGCUGGUGGUGUCUGCUCGCCUGGAGAAUCAGGGAGAGAACGCCUACGGCACCACCAUCAACAUCUCCACCUCCUCCAACCUGCUCUUCUCCAGCCUCAUCAUCAAGGUGCAUUCAAA